RNAcentral lists this ribosomal RNA (405 nucleotides) under Verrucomicrobiota bacterium. RNAcentral describes it as "Verrucomicrobia bacterium partial 16S ribosomal RNA". It matches the Rfam family "Bacterial small subunit ribosomal RNA", at positions 355 to 776 of the family's 1533-position model. Lineage: Bacteria; Pseudomonadati; Verrucomicrobiota. The record is from RNAcentral.
UGGGGAAUAUUGGACAAUGGGCGCAAGCCUGAUCCAGCCAUGCCGCGUGAGUGAUGAAGGCCCUAGGGUUGUAAAGCUCUUUCACCGGUGAAGAUAAUGACGGUAACCGGAGAAGAAGCACCGGCUAACUACGUGCCAGCAGCCGCGGUAAUACGUAGGGUGCGAGCGUUGUCCGGAAUUACUGGGCGUAAAGGGCUCGUAGGUGGUUUGUCGCGUCGUCUGUGAAAUUCCGGGGCUUAACUCCGGGCGUGCAGGCGAUACGGGCAUAACUUGAGUACUGUAGGGGUAACUGGAAUUCCUGGUGUAGCGGUGAAAUGCGCAGAUAUCAGGAGGAACACCGAUGGCGAAGGCAGGUUACUGGGCAGUUACUGACGCUGAGGAGCGAAAGCAUGGGUAGCGAACAGG